This 434-nucleotide ribosomal RNA is filed under the name uncultured bacterium. RNAcentral describes it as "partial 16S ribosomal RNA". It matches the Rfam family "Bacterial small subunit ribosomal RNA", at positions 29 to 507 of the family's 1533-position model. The record is from RNAcentral.
AGCGAACGCUGGCGGCAGGCCUAACACAUGCAAGUCGAACGGAACUUCCGUGGUUAGUGGCGGUCGGGUGAGUAACACGGGGGAACGUGCCGUUAGGUUCCGAAUUCUUCAGUUUAGCUUGUGCUAAUACCGCUUGUGCUAUUCGGGGAAAAGAUUUAUCGCCUUUUGAGCGGCCCGCGACUGUUUAGCUAGUUGGUUGAGGAAAUGGCUCUCCAAGGCGAGGUUGAGUAGCUGGUCUGAGCGGAUGAUCAGCCACAUUGGGACUGAGACACGGCCCAAUCUCCGACGGGAGGCAGCAGUGGGGAAUAUUGCGCAAUGGGCGAAAGCCUGACGCAGCCAUGCCGCGUGAAUGAUGAAGGUCUUAGGAUUGUAAAAUUCUUUCACCGGGGACGAUAAUGACGGUACCCGGAGAAGAAGCCCCGGCUAACUUCGUG